AUGCUCACUUCAGCACAUACAUCUUAAACUGAAAUGAUACAGAGAAGAUCAGCCUGGCCCCCGAGCAUGGGUGACAUGCAAAUUCAUGAGACAGCGCAUAGUUUU
This is a small nuclear RNA of Jaculus jaculus (lesser Egyptian jerboa), 105 nucleotides long. The record is from Ensembl. NCBI's taxonomy places the organism in Eukaryota, Metazoa, Chordata, Mammalia, Rodentia, Dipodidae.